Molecule: ribosomal RNA, 1241 nt
Filed under: metagenome
Description: bacterial LSU rRNA
Rfam family: Bacterial large subunit ribosomal RNA
Source: RNAcentral
UGAAUACGAGACGCUAAGGCGUCGAAGUAGUGUAUGUCAUACUUCCAAGAAAAGCUUGCACUGUCAUAGAUAAAAAACGCCUGUACCAUAACCGACACAGGUGGGUAGGUAGAGUAUACUAAGGGGCGCGAGAUAACUCUCUCUAAGGAACUCGGCAAAAUAACUCCGUAACUUCGGGAGAAGGAGUGCCUUAUUCGUAAGGUUGCAAUAACAAGAUCCAAGCAACUGUUUAUCAAAAACACAGGUCUCCGCUAAGUCGUAAGACGAUGUAUGGGGGCUGACGCCUGCCCAGUGCCAGAAGGUUAAAGAAGUUGGUUAGCAAUUGCGAAGCUGAUAACUGAAGCCCUGGUGAACGGCGGCCGUAACUAUAACGGUCCUAAGGUAGCGAAAUUCCUUGUCGGGUAAGUUCCGACCCGCACGAAAGGCGUAAUGAUUUGGAUACUGUCUCGGAGAGGGGCUCGGUGAAAUAGACUUGUCUGUGAAGAUGCGGACUACCUGCACCAGGACAGAAAGACCCUAUGAAGCUUUACUGUAACUUGAAAUUGAAAUUGGACUUUAUUCGCGCAGUAUAGGUGGGAGGCGUUGAUUAUAAUCUUGUGGGAUUAUUGGAGCCAUCAGUGAGAUACCACUCUUGUAAUGUUAGAUUUCUAACUUUGAAUCAUUAUCUGGUCAAAGAACAGUUUCAGGCGGGCAGUUUGACUGGGGCGGUCGCCUCCUAAACGGUAACGGAGGCGUACAAAGGUUUCCUCUGAACGGUUAGAAAUCGUAUCUAGAGUGUAAAGGCAUAAGGAAGCUUGACUGUGAGACCUACAAGUCGAGCAGGGACGAAAGUCGGUCUUAGUGAUCUGACGGUACUGAGUGGAAAGGCCGUCACUCAACGGAUAAAAGUUACUCUAGGAUAACAGGCUGAUCUCCCCCAAGAGUUCACAUCGACGGGGAGGUUUGGCACCUCGAUGUCGGCUCAUCGCAUCCUGGGGCGGUAGUACGUCCCAAGGGUUGGGCUGUUCGCCCAUGAAAGCGGUACGCGAGCUGGGUUCAGAACGUCGUGAGACAGUUCGGUCCAUAUCCGGUGUAGGCGUUAGAAUAUUGAGAGGAGCCUUCUUUAGUACGAGAGGACCGAGAAGGACAUACCUCUGGUGUACCAGUUAUCGCGCCAACGGUAAACGCUGGGUAGCUAUGUAUGGAGUGGAUAACCGCUGAAAGCAUCUAAGUGGGAAGCCCACCUCAAGAUAAGUAUUCUC